This 419-nucleotide ribosomal RNA is filed under the name uncultured bacterium. RNAcentral's name for it is "bacterial SSU rRNA". It matches the Rfam family "Bacterial small subunit ribosomal RNA", at positions 355 to 787 of the family's 1533-position model. The record is from RNAcentral.
UGGGGAAUAUUGGGCAAUGGGCGCAAGCCUGACCCAGCAACGCCGCGUGAGGGAAGAAGGUUUUCGGAUUGUAAACCUCUGUCGCAGAAGACGAAGGAAGUGACGGUAUUCUGUGAGGAAGCCCCGGCUAACUACGUGCCAGCAGCCGCGGUAAUACGUAGGGGGCGAGCGUUGUCCGGAAUUACUGGGCGUAAAGGGUGCGUAGGCGGUUGAUUAAGUUGGAUGUGAAAUACCCGGGCUUAACUUGGGGGGUGCAUUCAAAACUGGUUAACUAGAGUACAGGAGAGGGAAGCGGAAUUCCUAGUGUAGCGGUGAAAUGCGUAGAUAUUAGGAGGAACACCGGUGGCGAAGGCGGCUUUCUGGACUGACACUGACGCUGAGGCACGGAAAGCGUGGGGAGCAAACAGGAUUAGAUACCC